CACGUAGGGGGCAAGCGUUGUCCGGAUUUAUUGGGCGUAAAGAGCUCGUAGGUGGCUCGGCAAGUCGGGUGUUAAACCCCCAGGCUCAACCUGGGGACGCCACUCGAUACUGCUGUGGCUAGAGUCCGGUAGGGGAGCGUGGAAUUCCUGGUGUAGCGGUGAAAUGCGCAGAUAUCAGGAGGAACACCGGUGGCGAAGGCGGGUCUCUGGGCCGAUACUGACGCCGAGGAGCGAAAGCGUGGGGAGCGAACAGG
This 254-nucleotide ribosomal RNA is filed under the name uncultured bacterium. RNAcentral's name for it is "partial 16S ribosomal RNA". It matches the Rfam family "Bacterial small subunit ribosomal RNA", at positions 524 to 776 of the family's 1533-position model. The record is from RNAcentral.